AUUGAACGCUGGCGGCAGGCCUAACACAUGCAAGUCGAACGAGUGGCGGACGGGUGAGUAAUGUCUGGGAAACUGCCUGAUGGAGGGGAAUAACUACUGGAAACGGUAGCUAAUACCGCAUACCAUCGGAUGUGCCCAGAUGGGAUUAGCUAGUAGGUGGGGUAAAGGCUCACCUAGGCGACGAUCCCUAGCUGGUCUGAGAGGAUGACCACCAACAUGGGAACUGGGACAGGGUCCAGACUCCUACGGAAGGCAGCAGUGGGGAAUUGUGCACAAUGGGCGCAAGCCGGAUGCAGCCAUCCGGCGUGGAUGAAGAGGGCCUUCGGGUUGUAAGGUACUUUCAGCGGGGAGGCGUUACCCGCAGAAGAAGCACCGGCUAACUCCGUGCCAGCAGCCGCGGUAAUAC
Molecule: ribosomal RNA, 406 nt
Filed under: uncultured bacterium
Lineage: Bacteria
Description: partial 16S ribosomal RNA
Rfam family: Bacterial small subunit ribosomal RNA
Source: RNAcentral